GCAGUGGCCCGGCGGGGCCCGGGGCAGCCCCGCGGGGGGCGGCCGGGCGGGCGGCACGGAGUAGGGAAGGAGCGGCCGGGCCGGUUCCCGGGGCACCGGGGAGUUGGCGUCUUCCGUCUAUCCCGGGCACAUAAAAUUAACAUUUUGAGGUAAAACCGAGGCAAUUUAGUGAGGGACAUUCGGGGGAAAGGGCGGGGAAUCGAGGUUCUCUGAGCAGGACAGGAAGGGACAAUUUUGGGGUAAACCCUGAGCUAGUCAGGGGAGGUUUAGGGGUCGAACCUGCCCUCUGUGCAGGGAUUGGAAGGAACGUUUUUGAGGGAAAAGCAGAGACAAAUUGGCAGGGGGAGCAGAGGUGACAUUUUUCACAGAAACGCUAAGGUAAUUUGGAUGAAACAAAAUCACCUUUUUUUUGUGGGGUGAAUCGGUGGGUAUCUUGAAAAAAGAGGAGCCUUUCUGAGAGAAAGGCUGGGAAUUCAGACAAGACCACAGCAGCAUUUUGGACAGAAAACCGGAGGUAACUUAGUGGGGACAGAGGUGACCCUUUUAGCUGAAAACCUGGAGUAAUUUAGAGGAAACAUAGGCACUGUUUUAUGUAGGAAGGUGGGAGGCAACGUAGAGGGGAAAGAGGUGGUGUUUUGGACAGAAUAGGUGAGGUGGUUGGUAAUGGAUCGACUGCCAGCUGCAGACUGAGCCCUGGAGCCUGAAUCCUUUCCAGUCAGCAGGGGUUGUCCCAAAUGCCAUUCCCUGGCUCAUAAUUUGGUUGUUUGCAGGUCCUGCCCAGAAUGAGCAUCCAUGUGCUUGGACAAUGAUUCCCCAGAAGGAAGGGGAGCUUUGGCCUCACCCGCCCACCUCAGGUGGAUGGGACAGAACUGGGGUGGUCGCAUAAGGCAUGAACACGUUCUGAGUUAAAAAGAGAAAAUAAGACUGGAAAUCUCCUGCACUUGGGAGCUUGUGGUGCUCUGGAUUAAAUCCUGGAUUUAUAAUGUUAA
Molecule: long non-coding RNA, 989 nt
Organism: Pseudopipra pipra
Lineage: Eukaryota; Metazoa; Chordata; Aves; Passeriformes; Pipridae
Exons: 2
Source: RefSeq, a predicted model, not a curated record